RNAcentral lists this long non-coding RNA (403 nucleotides) under Oryza sativa (Asian cultivated rice). Its description in RNAcentral is "long non-coding RNA (OSAT_LNC000903)". The record is from RNAcentral. Lineage: Eukaryota; Viridiplantae; Streptophyta; Magnoliopsida; Poales; Poaceae.
ACUGUAGUAACUUUGACAGUCAUUCACAGGCACAGGUAUGGUGAAAGUAUGGAAUCUCUCUUGUGUUUAUGCCAUUGCUUGCUUUCUCUCUGGCUCAUCACAGGGCUUGCUCGUGCUCAUCUGGGCCUGUUUGUGUGUUGUUGCAUGACCCAUCCCAAUCAGAAGCUGGCUGGACAAGCCAUGGUGGUGGGAGAACUGGGAACUGGCAAUCACAACCCCAAAGCUGCUCCCCUUUUGGCCACCCCUACUGUGUUUGUGUGAGUGUGUCAGUGACCAAUGCUAAGAGCAGGUACAAUAGCAGGCUCUAAGCCAGCUGCAAACAUAUUUUAAGGAGAUAAAUGAGGAGAGAGAGAGGAGAGAAGCGGGCUACAGAUUUAUAGCCAGUUGUAGCACGGACUCCAAG